Molecule: ribosomal RNA, 118 nt
Filed under: Pteropus alecto (black flying fox)
Lineage: Eukaryota; Metazoa; Chordata; Mammalia; Chiroptera; Pteropodidae
Source: RNAcentral
CACUACAGCCAUGCCACCCUGAACGUGUGCCAUCUCAUCUGAUCUCAGAAGCUAAGCCGGGUCAGCCUGGUUAGUACUUGGAUGGGAGACUACCUAGGAAGACCAGGUGCUGUAGGCA